GAAACACGGACCAAGGAGUCUAGCAUGUGCGCGAGUCAUUGGGACUCUGAUAAACCUAAAGGCGCAAUGAAAGUAAAGGUCCGCCUCGCGCGGACCGAGGGAGGAUGGGCCCGUCCGCGGACGGGCCCCGCACUCCCGGGGCGUCUCGUUCUCAUCGCGAGAAGAGGCGCACCCAGAGCGUACACGCUGGGACCCGAAAGAUGGUGAACUAUGCCUGGUCAGGACGAAGUCAGGGGAAACCCUGAUGGAGGUCCGUAGCGAUUCUGACGUGCAAAUCGAUCGUCGGAACUGGGUAUAGGGGCGAAAGACUAAUCGAACCUUCUAGUAGCUGG
RNAcentral lists this ribosomal RNA (332 nucleotides) under Xinidium dentilabris. RNAcentral's name for it is "eukaryotic LSU rRNA". It matches the Rfam family "Eukaryotic large subunit ribosomal RNA", at positions 656 to 954 of the family's 3401-position model. Lineage: Eukaryota; Metazoa; Arthropoda; Insecta; Coleoptera; Scarabaeidae. The record is from RNAcentral.